Molecule: long non-coding RNA, 773 nt
Filed under: Equus asinus (donkey)
Lineage: Eukaryota; Metazoa; Chordata; Mammalia; Perissodactyla; Equidae
Description: lncRNA (ENSEASG00005037202.1)
Source: RNAcentral
AGGAACUCGAGACGUUUUCCUAGAGAGGAGGAGCUGAGCCUGUGCGAUCUUCACAUUUUUCUCGCUCCUCUCCGGCUUCAGCCCCAGAGGCGGUGUAGAGCCUCCUUAAGGAGAAAAAGAAAAGCCGAGAGUCUAAUUACAAUCUCUUUAUAACCUGCAAUUUAUAAACUAUAAUAACUGUAAAGUUCUAGGAUCCACUCUCCAUGGUUUGCCAUCCAGCCCUGGACCCAGGAGGCCUGACCUAUGUAGAUGGCUUCAAGAGUUUCCUUUGGCUUCCGGCUUCAGGCAACUGGUCCUCUCACCAUAGCCUUUCAUUACACAUACACACUCUGUCGCAUUAAAAGGCUAGACUCUAGAAGCCAGAGACAUAAAAGCUUAACCUCUCAUAGUUAAAAAAAUAUAUAAAUGUUAUGGACUGAAUUGUGUACCCUAAAAAUUCACAUGUUGAAGCCAUAACCCAACAAUGUGGCUCUAUUUGGAGAUAUAAAUUUUAGAAGGUAAUUAAGGUUAAAUGAGAUCAUAAAGGUCGGAGCCCUAAUCUGAUAGUAUUAGUGGCCUUAUAAGAAGAAGAGAUCACACUUUGUCUCCCUUCCUGUCUCCCUGGCCCCCUCCCCCCACACCACUGCCGUCCCCACCGCGUGAGGACACAGCGAGAAGGUAGUUGUCUACAAGCCAGAAAGAGGGUUCUCAUCAGGAACUGAACCAGCCGGCACCUUGAUCUUGGACUUCCCAGCCUCCAGAACUAAAGAGAAAUAAAUAUCUGUUGUUUAAGC